UACGUAGGGCGCAAGCGUUGUCCGGAAUUAUUGGGCGUAAAGAGCUCGUAGGCGGUCUGUUGCGUCCGCUGUGAAAACUCGGGGCUUAACCCCGAGCCUGCAGUGGAUACGGGCAGACUAGAGGUAGGUAGGGGAGAAUGGAAUUCCCGGUGUAGCGGUGAAAUGCGCAGAUAUCGGGAAGAACACCCGUGGCGAAGGCGGUUCUCUGGGACGGUACUGACGCUGAGACGCGAAAGCGUGGGGAGCGAACAGG
RNAcentral lists this ribosomal RNA (253 nucleotides) under uncultured bacterium. Its description in RNAcentral is "partial 16S ribosomal RNA". It matches the Rfam family "Bacterial small subunit ribosomal RNA", at positions 524 to 776 of the family's 1533-position model. The record is from RNAcentral.